Molecule: unclassified non-coding RNA, 390 nt
Filed under: soil metagenome
Description: partial contains 5.8S ribosomal RNA, internal transcribed spacer 2, and large subunit ribosomal RNA
Rfam family: 5.8S ribosomal RNA (bases 1-122)
Source: RNAcentral
GAUGAAGAACGUAGCGAAAUGCGAUACUUGGUGUGAAUUGCAGAAUCCCGUGAACCAUCGAGUCUUUGAACGCAAGUUGCGCCCGAAGCCACUAGGCCGAGGGCACGCCUGCCUGGGCGUCACACGCCGUUGCCCCCCCAUCUACUCCUUCGGGAUUGCGGGGGGCGGAUGAUGGCCUCCCGUGCGCCUAGCCGCGCGGUUGGCAUAAAUACCAAGUCCUCGGCGACGCACGCCACGACAAUCGGUGGUUGCGAAACCUCGGUUGCCCGUCGUGUGCGUUCGUCGCGCAUCGAGGGCUCGAAAAAAUGCUCGGCUCCGGCUGGGCUUUCAACGCGACCCCAGGUCAGGCGGGGUUACCCGCUGAAUUUAAGCAUCUCAAUAAGCGGAGGA